This 1225-nucleotide long non-coding RNA is filed under the name Bos indicus x Bos taurus (hybrid cattle). Its description in RNAcentral is "lncRNA (ENSBIXG00000030201.1)". The record is from RNAcentral. Lineage: Eukaryota; Metazoa; Chordata; Mammalia; Artiodactyla; Bovidae.
AUGCUUCCUGCUGCUCUUCUAUGCGCUGUACAACAUGCUGGUGGCCCGUUCCAAGAUGGUGUGCUACUUUCUCAUCAUCCUCAACCACAUGGUCUCCGUCUCCAUGAUCACCCUCGUGCUGCCCAUCCUCAUCUUCCUCUGAUCCAUGCUGUCCAUCCCCUGGCCCAGCAGGCACUUCUGGAUGAUGGCCAUCAUCUACACGGAGGUGGCCAUUGUGGUCAAGUACUUCUUCCAGUUUGGGUUCUUCUCCUGGAACAAGAAUGUGGAACUGAACAAGGACAAGCCUUACCACCCACCCAACAUCAUUGGGGUGGAGAAGAAGGAUGCCUACGUGCUCUAUGAUCUCAUCCAGGUGCUGGCACUCUUCUUCCACCACUCCAGCCUGAAGAUACUGCCUGCCCAUCGCCCCUGGCAUGUUCCUGAGAACCGCGCAGUGGGAUUGUGAGGGGCUGGGAUGCCACAGGCAGGGUCUAUCUGUGUGCUCUUGUUUUCUUUGUUAACGGUUUUGUUCAUUUCAUUCAUUUCCUCCACAUUGUGUACUCAGUAUUGUAGUCUGUGAUCAAUCAGGGGAAAUUUUCUCCUAUUUCUACUCUGGGAUGAAUGCAUGCAUGCUAAGUCGCUUUGGACAUGUCUGACUCUUUUGCGACCCUAUGGCCUAUAACCCACCAGGCUCCUCUGUCCAUGGGAUUCUCCAGGCAAGAAUACUGGAGUGGGUUGCCAUGCCCUCCUCCAGGGGAUCUUGCUGACCCAAGGAUCGAACGCACACCUCUUAUGUCUCCUGUAUUGGCAGAUAGGUUCUUUACCACUAGCUCCACCUGUGAAGCCCAUCCUGGGAUGAAGGCACCCUGAUUAUCCCACAUUUGUGGGAAUUGCCCAAAGGGCAUGUGCUUCUUACUGUUGGAUUCACUAAGUCAUGCCUGAGUUGAAGGCAGAUCACUGGGGAGCUAGAAUUUGGGGUCUUCUCUCCAGCCAGACCUUGACCCAUCCCCUUCUAGGAGCAUUGCUUUUCUCAAGGUUUUCUUGCUCUGAAACCACUGGUUUAGUGAGAGACUGUCCAAUCCAUGGGCCUGGGGAUGCCAGACUGUGCUCCCAGAGAGGCCACUUCUGACAAAGCCAUGCCUGCAUUGCUCUGGGAAGACAGGUCUGCAGGGUAACCUUCUAAGGAUCUGUACCUCCUGUCAUCCUGCUGAGCACCUGAGGGGUUUCUCAUCUCAGACACUGUGAA